Molecule: long non-coding RNA, 889 nt
Organism: Rhincodon typus (whale shark)
Lineage: Eukaryota; Metazoa; Chordata; Chondrichthyes; Orectolobiformes; Rhincodontidae
Exons: 2
Source: RefSeq, a predicted model, not a curated record
AAUUAAUUGUGCGUGUUACAAAUAGAUUUUGAAAGGAACAUAAGGAGGUUGCAGAUAUAGAUAGUUUGCAUGAGUAAGCAAAAAUGGACUAAAACGUGGGAAAAAUGUAAAGUUUUCCACUUUGGCAAGAACAAUAAACAAAUAAAGAAUUACUUAAACAGAGAUCAGCUGCAGGAUUCUGAGGCGAAGAGGCAUCUAGGUGCUCCAGCGCAGGGGUCACAAAAAGCGAGGGUGCAUGCACAGUGAAUGAUUAAGGCGACUAAUGGAACGCUGUCCUUUACUGCAAGAGGAAUGGAACAAAGAAGAAAGAGUGUUAUGCUUCAGUUAAACAGGGAAUUGGCUCAGGAGCAGUGUCCUUCCAGGGGAAACGAGAUGUGUCUCAAACCAGUCUAUUAUCCAACAUUUUGGGUUAUCAUCCAUGACUCAUCAAUGGGGGUGAAUCCAAUGGACAAUCUGAAAAUGCAAAGGAAACUACAGAUCUCUGACUGUCAGAGAGAGAAUAAAAGUCAAUGCUCUUCCAUCAAGCAAACUACUAGUCUUAUAAGUCCAAAGAGAAUGAGUUCCAGCAGAACAGAGAAACUACCAGAUCAUCUAAAUUUGUGAAGUUACUGUUUAGGGUUAGAUGGGGCAGUGGUGAUUGUACAACAAUGUAUAAUAAGAGAAAAAGCUUGGAGUGUAAUGUUGUAUAUGGGUCCGAAAGGGGUAAUACUAAAGAUUGUCUUAAGGAGCACUUACUAUGACGAUGUCAAAUUGACUUGUGGGCAGAACAGCUUAGGAUCUUUAAGGACUAAGACCUAACAUCUGGUCCUCCCCAAAAUCACUAUCUUGCAAGUCAAUAUAAUCUGUAACCAGUUGUUAACAUGCAAUAAACUGUAUCUUGUUAACUACA